RNAcentral lists this ribosomal RNA (448 nucleotides) under uncultured bacterium. RNAcentral describes it as "bacterial SSU rRNA". It matches the Rfam family "Bacterial small subunit ribosomal RNA", at positions 355 to 825 of the family's 1533-position model. The record is from RNAcentral.
UGGGGAAUAUUGGACAAUGGGCGCAAGCCUGAUCCAGCCAUGCCGCGUGAGUGACGAAGGCCUUAGGGUUGUAAAGCUCUUUUUGGCGGGGAAGAUAAUGACGGUACCCGCAGAAUAAGCUCCGGCUAACUUCGUGCCAGCAGCCGCGGUAAUACGAAGGGAGCUAGCGUUGUUCGGAAUCACUGGGCGUAAAGCGCACGUAGGUGGGCAGUUAAGUCAGGGGUGAAAGCCCGAGGCUCAACCUCGGAAUUGCCUCUGAUACUGGCUGUCUAGAGUUCGAGAGAGGUGAGUGGAAUUCCUAGUGUAGAGGUGAAAUUCGUAGAUAUUAGGAAGAACACCGGUGGCGAAGGCGGCUCACUGGCUCGAUACUGACACUGAGGCGCGAAAGCGUGGGGAGCAAACAGGAUUAGAUACCCAAGUAGUCCCUGAGCGGGCUGGCAAGGCGCAU